GUUGAAUAGCCUUUUCUAAAUCCUGAUUGAUUUUCAUUUAACAAUAAGUAAUUUUCCAAAAAAGUGGAUAGUCUUGAAUUUAGAACUGAGGUAAAUAGCUUUCCCAUGCAGCUAAGAAUUGUGAUAGGUCUAUAAUUUUCUGGUUUUUUUGUAUCACCUUUAUUUUUAUAAAAAGGAAUAAUGUUACCAACUAACCAUGCUUCUGGAAUUUUACCG
RNAcentral lists this long non-coding RNA (216 nucleotides) under Mytilus galloprovincialis (Mediterranean mussel). The record is from RNAcentral. Lineage: Eukaryota; Metazoa; Mollusca; Bivalvia; Mytilida; Mytilidae.